CCCUUAGAUGUUCUGGGCCGCACGCGUGCUACACUGAGUAAUUCAAUGGGUAAGGGAACGCUAGAGCAUUACCUAAUCUUGAAAUUUGCUCAUGAUGGGGAUCGACGGUUGCAAUUUUCCGUCGUGAACGAGGAAUACCUUGUAGGCGCAUGUCAUCAUCAUGCGCCGAAUACGUCCCUGCCCUUUGUACACACCGCCCGUCGCUCCUACCGAUUGAGUGAUCCGGUGAGGCUCUGGGACCUGGACGGAAAGAGCGUUUCGCUUGUUCUGUUUGGGAAACUUGGUCGAACCUUAUCAUUUAGAGGAAGGAGAAGUCGUAACA
This 322-nucleotide ribosomal RNA is filed under the name uncultured eukaryote. RNAcentral describes it as "partial 18S ribosomal RNA". It matches the Rfam family "Eukaryotic small subunit ribosomal RNA", at positions 1470 to 1796 of the family's 1831-position model. The record is from RNAcentral.